GCUUGUAAUUGUUCAGCAAGGCCUUGUAGGGCAUCUUUAGUAUAAUUAAUGAACCUUUGCUGAUUGCAGUCAUUCUCAACUCAGCAGAAAAAAAACAAAACAAAAAACACUUAAUACUUUUGCAGACAGAUAUAUAGAAAAUGGAUGUUUAAGACAGAAUGGAACUUGGGCUUAUAGCAACUAUAUUAUUGCACAACCAGGACCUUGCGUCCUAUAUCUUUUAACCAUUUUCCUAUUCCAAAAGUCCAGUCAAAACCAGUCAUAUCCUCACGCAGUUCCUCAAAACAUGGGAAUCCAUCCUUGGCACACUCAACAUAUAUCAAAAACACACAUAGUACAUCCAUCCCUGGGUCAGCUAACACUUCCU
Pelobates cultripes (western spadefoot toad) is the source of this 367-nucleotide non-coding RNA. Lineage: Eukaryota; Metazoa; Chordata; Amphibia; Anura; Pelobatidae. The record is from the annotation of a GenBank genome assembly.